GGGCGAUUAGCUCAGUUGGCCAGAGCAUCGCGUUUACACCGCGAGGGUCGUAGGUUCGAGUCCUACAUCGCCCACCA
This 77-nucleotide transfer RNA is filed under the name candidate division WWE3 bacterium. RNAcentral's name for it is "tRNA-Val". It matches the Rfam family "tRNA". From Rfam's summary of the family: Transfer RNA (tRNA) molecules are approximately 80 nucleotides in length. Their secondary structure includes four short double-helical elements and three loops (D, anti-codon, and T loops). Further hydrogen bonds mediate the characteristic L-shaped molecular structure. tRNAs have two regions of fundamental functional importance: the anti-codon, which is responsible for specific mRNA codon recognition, and the 3' end, to which the tRNAs corresponding amino acid is attached (by aminoacyl-tRNA synthetases). tRNAs cope with the degeneracy of the genetic code in two manners: having more than one tRNA (with a specific anti-codon) for a particular amino acid; and 'wobble' base-pairing, i.e. permitting non-standard base-pairing at the 3rd anti-codon position. The record is from RNAcentral. Lineage: Bacteria; candidate division WWE3.